UACGUAGGGUGGCAAGCGUUGUCCGGAAUUAUUGGGCGUAAAGCGCGCGCAGGUGGUUUCUUAAGUCUGAUGUGAAAGCCCACGGCUCAACCGUGGAGGGUCAUUGGAAACUGGGGAACUUGAGUGCAGGAGAGAAGAGUGGAAUUCCACGUGUAGCGGUGAAAUGCGUAGAGAUGUGGAGGAACACCAGUGGCGAAGGCGACUCUUUGGCCUGUAACUGACACUGAGGCGCGAAAGCGUGGGGAGCAAACAGG
RNAcentral lists this ribosomal RNA (254 nucleotides) under uncultured bacterium. Its description in RNAcentral is "partial 16S ribosomal RNA". It matches the Rfam family "Bacterial small subunit ribosomal RNA", at positions 524 to 776 of the family's 1533-position model. The record is from RNAcentral.